This 772-nucleotide ribosomal RNA is filed under the name uncultured bacterium. RNAcentral describes it as "bacterial SSU rRNA". It matches the Rfam family "Bacterial small subunit ribosomal RNA", at positions 8 to 796 of the family's 1533-position model. The record is from RNAcentral.
AGAGUUUGAUCUGGCUCAGGAUGAACGCUAGCGGCAGGCCUAAUACNNGCAAGUCGAACGCCCAGCAAUGGGAGUGGCGCACGGGUGCGUAACGCGUAUGCAACCUACCUUAAACUGGGGGAUAGCCUUCCGAAAGGAAGAUUAAUACCCCAUAGUAUCACGAGAGGGCAUCUGAUUGUGAUUAAAGAUUUAUCGGUUUAAGAUGGGCAUGCGUGACAUUAGCUAGUUGGUGAGGUAACGGCUCACCAAGGCUACGAUGUCUAGGGGUUCUGAGAGGAUGAUCCCCCACACUGGUACUGAGAUACGGACCAGACUCCUACGGGAGGCAGCAGUAGGGAAUAUUGGGCAAUGGACGAGAGUCUGACCCAGCCAUGCCGCGUGCAGGAAGAAGGCCUUCUGGGUUGUAAACUGCUUUUAUCAGGGAAGAAAACGCUCCUGCGGGAGUAACUGACGGUACCUGGUGAAUAAGCACCGGCUAACUCCGUGCCAGCAGCCGCGGUAAUACGGAGGGUGCAAGCGUUGUCCGGAUUUAUUGGGUUUAAAGGCGUAGGCGGCUUAUUAAGUCAGUGGUGAAAGCCAACAGCUCAACUGUUGAACUGCCAUUGAUACUGAUAAGCUUGAGUACAGACGAGGUAGGCGGAAUUGAAGAUGUAGCGGUGAAAUGCAUAGAUAUCUUCAAGAACACCGAUUGCGUAGGCAGCUUACUAGGCUGUAACUGACGCUGAGGCACGAAAGCGUGGGGAGCGAACAGGAUUAGAUACCCUAGUAGUCC